This is a non-coding RNA of Heterorhabditis bacteriophora, 1211 nucleotides long. NCBI's taxonomy places the organism in Eukaryota, Metazoa, Nematoda, Chromadorea, Rhabditida, Heterorhabditidae. The record is from Rfam.
GCUUGCGCGGUAACGCAUUCGAACUCGGUAACGUCGCUUAGAGACCGAGCUAGAGUUUUCUUCUCUAGUUAAGGAACGGACUCCCUGGAAUCGGUUCAUCCGGAGAUAGGGACGUUGUUUCCGUAAAGCACCGCGGUUUCUGUGGUGUCUCGUGCUCUCUGAACGGCCCUUGAAAAACCGAGGGAGGCUAUUAAUCUAUGCUGCAUCGUACCGAUAUCCGCAUCAGGUCCUCAAGGUGAACGGCCUCUAGUCGAUAGAAUAAUGUAGGUAAGGGAAGUCGGCAAAUUAGAUCCGUAACUUCGGGAAAAGGAUUGGCUCCAGUGAUCGGGUCGGUUGGCCUGUUCACUGAUACUUGUAUGGUUUCGUUCGUGGCUGGCUGAUGCUAACGCUGAUGUCGGACUAGUGAUGAGACAGUCUUGUGGUACGUUUAUAGGUGUGUGCUUUGCUUUCGAGCUUAGUAUCCUGACCGGCCAUUAAAACGGUCGAACUGGAACUGGUACGGACUCGGGGAAUCCGACUGUCUAAUUAAAACAGAGGAGACAGAUGGUCCUUGCGGACGUUUACUGUCUCUGAUUUCUGCCCAGUGCUCUGAAUGUUAAAUCGUAGUAAUUCGAGUAAGCGCGGGUAAACGGCGGGAGUAACUAUGACUCUCUUAAGGUAGCCAAAUGCCUCGUCAUCUAAUUAGUGACGCGCAUGAAUGGAUUAACGAGAUUCCCACUGUCCCUAACUACUAUCUAGCGAAACCACAGCCAAGGGAACGGGCUUGGUAAAAAUAGCGGGGAAAGAAGACCCUGUUGAGCUUGACUCUAGUUUGACAUUGUGAAGAGUCAUGAGAGGUGUAGCAUAGGUGGGAGACUUAUGUCGCCAAUGAAAUACCACCACUUUCAUCGAUUCUUUACUUAUUCGGUAAUGUGAGGAUUGGGCCAUCGGCUCUUUCUUCUUUGUGUUAAGUGAAGUCACCUGGUGACAUUACGACUCCCGUCGAAGACAAUGUCAGGCGGGGAGUUUGACUGGGGCGGUACAUCUGUCAAAUCGUAACGCAGGUGUCCUAAGGCUAGCUCAGAGAGGACGGAAACCUCUCGUAGAGCAAAAGGGCAAAAGCUCGCUUGAUCUUGACUUUCAGUACGAGUACAGACCGCGAAAGCGUGGCCUAUCGAUCCUUUUAAUCCAGAUAGUUUCUGGUAAGAGGUGUCAGAAAAGUUACCACAGGG